RNAcentral lists this small nuclear RNA (23 nucleotides) under Arabidopsis thaliana (thale cress). RNAcentral's name for it is "snRNA_14318". The record is from RNAcentral. Lineage: Eukaryota; Viridiplantae; Streptophyta; Magnoliopsida; Brassicales; Brassicaceae.
UUAACCGAUGGUUUUGAUACGGU